This 253-nucleotide ribosomal RNA is filed under the name uncultured bacterium. Its description in RNAcentral is "partial 16S ribosomal RNA". It matches the Rfam family "Bacterial small subunit ribosomal RNA", at positions 524 to 776 of the family's 1533-position model. The record is from RNAcentral.
UACGUAGGGGGCGAGCGUUGUCCGGAUUUACUGGGCGUAAAGCGCGUGUAGGCGGCCGGAUAAGUCGGGUGUGAAAGCCCGGGGCUCAACCCCGGGAUGCCGCCCGAGACUGCUCGGCUUGAGGACGGAAGAGGGGCGUGGAAUUCCUGGUGUAGCGGUGAAAUGCGUAGAGAUCAGGAGGAACACCCGUGGCGAAGGCGGCGCCCUGGUCCGUUACUGACGCUGAGACGCGAAAGCGUGGGGAGCGAACAGG